UUAGAGUUUGAUCCUGGCUCAGGAUGAACCCUUGCGGCAGGCUUAACACAUGCAAGUCGAGGGGCAACAUGUCCAGCAAUGGAUGAUGGCGACCGGCGGAAGGGUGCGUAACGCGUGAGCAACAUGCCCUAUACAGGGAGAUACACCAGGGAAACUUGGUCUAAUAUCCCAUAUCAUUCAUUGAAGGCAUCUUUAAUGAAUUAAAGCUUCGGUGGUAUAGGAUUGGCUCGCGUGACAUUAGCCAGAUGGUGAGGUAACGGCUCACCAUAGCAAUGAUGUCUAGGGGUUUUGAGAGGAACGCCCCCCACACUGGGACUGAGACACGGCCCACACUCCUACGGGAGGCAGCAGUGAGGAAUAUUGGACAAUGGAUGGAAAUCUGAUCCAGCCAUGCCGCGUGCAAGAAGACGGCCUUAUGGGUUGUAAACUGCCUUUAUACGGGAGCAAUAAGGGUUACGAGUAAUCCGAUGAGAGUACUGUAUGAAUAAGGAUCGGCUAACUCCGUGCCAGCAGCCGCGGUAAUACGGAGGAUCCGAGCGUUAUCCGGAAUUAUUGGGUUUAAAGGGUGCGUAGGCGGCCAUUUAAGUCAGCGGUGAAAUUUUGCAGCUUAACUGUAACAGUGCCGUUGAUACUGCUUGGCUAGGAUUUGGUUGUAGUGUGCGGAAUGUGUGGUGUAGCGGUGAAAUGCUUAGAUAUCACACAGAACACCGAUUGCGAAGGCAGCACACUAAGUCAUUAUUGACGCUGAGGCACGAAAGUGUGGGGAUCAAACAGGAUUAGAUACCCUGGUAGUCCACACUGUAAACGAUGAUAACUCGCUGUCGGCGAUACACAGUCGGUGGCCAAGCGAAAGCAUUAAGUUAUCCACCUGGGGAGUACGACCGCAAGGUUGAAACUCAAAGGAAUUGACGGGGGCCCGCACAAGCGGAGGAACAUGUGGUUUAAUUCGAAGCAACGCGAAGAACCUUACCUAGACUUGACAUCUCCUGCAUUACUCUUAAUCGAGGAAGUCCUUUCGGGGACAGGAUGACAGGUGGUGCAUGGUUGUCGUCAGCUCGUGUCGUGAGAUGUUGGGUUAAGUCCCGCAACGAGCGCAACCCUUAUUGUUAGUUGCCAUCAUUAAGUUGGGCACUCUAGCGAGACUGCCCGGGUUAACUGGGAGGAAGGUGGGGAUGACGUCAAAUCAUCAUGCCCCUUAUGUCUAGGGCUACACACGUGCUACAAUGGUCGGUACAAUAAGACGCAAGCCCGCGAGGGGGAGCAAAACUGGAAAACCGAUCUCAGUUCGGAUUGUAGGCUGAAACUCGCCUACAUGAAGCUGGAGUUGCUAGUAAUCGCGAAUCAGCAUGUCGCGGUGAAUACGUUCCCGGGCCUUGCACACACCGCCCGUCAAG
Molecule: ribosomal RNA, 1394 nt
Filed under: uncultured bacterium
Lineage: Bacteria
Description: bacterial SSU rRNA
Rfam family: Bacterial small subunit ribosomal RNA
Source: RNAcentral